GACUUAACUGAGUAAAAGGCUAAACUAACGUUAGUUUCAACGUUUAGGUUUUCUUCUCUAACUCUCUAUCCCUCUCCUCUCCGUUUCUUUCUCCCUCCCAUCAAACCCAGCGAUGGUCAUUGGUCAAGCUUCUUCAGUUCUCCAACCCAUACACAGUUGUGCAUCAACUGUAUUUCAGUCAUCCACCUCUGUCUCUGUCUCUCUCUUAGGUUUCUCUCUCUCACUGAACCCAAUCGAAUCAAGGGGGGAGGGGAGGAAGGGUGUUUGUUUCUCGAGAAUCCGAGAAAGAUUUUGAAUCAGCUUCUGGGCAUCAUUUUGGUAUAAUUGUUGGGGAGUCAAGCCAUCAGAAAUUGUUCGAAUCUACAAAAUCUUCUCAAAAAGUAGAUCUUCAAGGAUGCAAGACUUUCUUCUUCUUUUUCUUGCCCAAUUUUCUAUGAGAAUCAUGUAUUAUAGUGGUGAAAGUUGUUUAUUGUCAACAAUCAUGUUGUUAUGGUUUCAAUAGAACUCUUGUUAUCAUGGAUUCAUAGUCUUGUGAUCAAAAUGUUCAUUUUAAUAAACUUUUGUUCAUUUUUGGAUCA
Quercus lobata is the source of this 578-nucleotide long non-coding RNA. RefSeq lists it as uncharacterized. The record is from RefSeq and is a predicted model, not a curated record. NCBI's taxonomy places the organism in Eukaryota, Viridiplantae, Streptophyta, Magnoliopsida, Fagales, Fagaceae. The transcript is spliced from 2 exons.